CCUACGGGGGGCAGCAGUGGGGAAUAUCGCACAAUGGGCGCAAGCCUGAUGCAGCCAUGCCGCGUGUGUGAAGAAGGCCUUCGGGUUGUAAAGCACUUUCAGCGGGGAGGAAGGCGGUGAGGUUAAUAACCUCAUCGAUUGACGUUACCCGCAGAAGAAGCACCGGCUAACUCCGUGCCAGCAGCCGCGGUAAUACGGAGGGUGCAAGCGUUAAUCGGAAUUACUGGGCGUAAAGCGCACGCAGGCGGUCUGUCAAGUCGGAUGUGAAAUCCCCGGGCUCAACCUGGGAACUGCAUUCGAAACUGGCAGGCUAGAGUCUUGUAGAGGGGGGUAGAAUUCCAGGUGUAGCGGUGAAAUGCGUAGAGAUCUGGAGGAAUACCGGUGGCGAAGGCGGCCCCCUGGACAAAGACUGACGCUCAGGUGCGAAAGCGUGGGGAGCAAACAGGAUUAGAUACCCGAGUAGUC
RNAcentral lists this ribosomal RNA (465 nucleotides) under uncultured Klebsiella sp. RNAcentral describes it as "bacterial SSU rRNA". It matches the Rfam family "Bacterial small subunit ribosomal RNA", at positions 338 to 795 of the family's 1533-position model. Lineage: Bacteria; Pseudomonadati; Pseudomonadota; Gammaproteobacteria; Enterobacterales; Enterobacteriaceae. The record is from RNAcentral.